AUGCCCGUUCCCAGCCCGCUGAGGGCAGGCCAAGCACGCAGAGGAUGCGCCAGGUGGCCAACAGGCAGCCCGAGGAAGCGCCUCAGGGCAGCCCGAGCCAGGCCUCGUCCCACCAUGGGAUCACGCUGCCACGGGUGCCCUACCCGGAGAGGUUUCAGCCUGUCGUCAACCAGCAGGCACAGGUGGGCAGCCUGGGGCACCGAGUGGUGCUGCCCUGCACCAGUGGGUCAACACAGGAGCAAACACCCCGUCUGCCAUCAUUGGUGGCAAUCGCACCCCGGCCACCACCUCAUUCAGCAAGAGCAGCUGUCAGCUACUGCGGGCUGCAACAUGUUCCACCAGCAGCCUCUCCACCUUCUGGCAGUGUCAGCGACUGGGCCAUCGGCAGCUCAAGCAGCAGUCAGUGUGCCCGAGAGGUCCACAGCCUCUGCCCCGACAAGUAAGACCUCAGACAUCAUGAGUGCAGUCGUGCGCAGGUACAGCACUGGGAGCCAGGGACCCUGGCAGCAGCCAGCAGCAUGGCAGAACCCAGCACAAAGCAGGGCUGCAGGGACACAAACAAGAAGAGACACUGUCCGGGUGGCCAACACCAGCAAGGCCCCAGCCACUCAGCCCUCACUGCGGAAUGCUGGGCGAGCAGCAGAGCAUGUGCCAGCAAUGCCGGCGGCUGGCAGCAAGGGCAGCCUCAACAGCAAGUCCCUGGGGCUGCACCAGAAGGUGUUUCCCCAGCGCCUGCCCCCACUGCCCAGCAAGAUCAAGCCUUCAGAGCAGCCAAAGAAGAGCUGCCUGGCAAGAGCUCAUGAGAAGCACCAGGCACCUCUCCCUCCAGUGGCACUGGCACGAGCGUCCCCUGACUUUGGCAAGCAGGCACCAGCACAGGCACGGAGACAGGCACCUGCCCCGCAGAGCACCAAAGUCAUGGAUGCAGCUCUGCAGGUGACAGCCGUGCGCAGAGGGAGGAAUCGUCUGGUCCAGUCUGUGGCUGUGGUCCAGGGAACCAACCAGCAGCGAGUAGAACACCAGGACAUGGCCCAACGUGAGGAUGUGGCAAUGGCAGCACUGUCCCAUGCAGAAGCAAAGGACAUAGAGUCUCCUGUGGCUGCAGGACCUCAGGGACAGGCCAGCAAAGCCCCUCUUGUCCCAGCAGCAGGCGAGGCUGGAAAAGAUGUGGUGUCUCCCAUGUUGGGAGACCAUCAAGAACAGGACAGCAGAGCCAUUGUCUCCUCAGAAGCACACAAGGUGGAAGUGGCAGCUUCAUUGCCUGACAUCGCUGUGGCAGAUGCUGGAACAUCCCAUCUGCAGAUGGACCUGCAGAGUGUGUCUCCUGCCCCAGACGGUCCAGCAGACAACGAGCCUGCAGCUGCUAGCCCGGCUGGAGCUGCUGAGGAAGAGCAGCACCGCGCAGCUCUCGCUGCCGUAGCAGAAGAGGAGGAGGAAGCAGCACCACCAGCUUCCCAUGGCUUUGAUGAGCUGGAGGCAGAAGCAGAGGUGCAAAGAAAGGCAUUUGCCCUGCUCAGCCCCACAGCCUCUGAGCUGGUUCGGCAUGAAAUAGCCAGGCGCUUUGUGAGUGGCAUCAUGUGCAAGGCUUUGGCUGUAAUCCAGGAAAUGGAUGAGCAGCCUCAGGAACACCAGGAGAUUGACAAAAGCCAAGUGGACGUGUCAAAGGGAGCAAUGAAGCCUGCAGCACUUGAGGACAUUGAGUCUCCUGUGGCUGUAGAGCCUCAGGCAGAGCCCAGCACAGCCCCUCUCAUCCCAGAGGCAGGCGAGCUUGGAGAAGACAUGGUGUCUCCCAUGUCUGGAGAACACCAAGAAGGGACCAAAACAGUAGAUGUCAGCCCAGCUGCAGAGGAAGAGGAGCACCGUGCAGCUCUUGCUGCUGUGGCACAACAAGACGAGAAGGCACUGGCACCAGCUUCCCACGUGUUUGACGAGCAGGAGGCAGAAGCAGAGGCCCGGAGGAAGGCAUUUGCUCUGCUCAGCCCCACAGCCUCUGAGCUGGUUCGGCAUGAAAUAGCCAGGCGCUUUGUGAGUGGCAUCGUGUGCAAGGCUUUGGCUGUCAUCCAGGAAAUGGAUGAGCAGCGUCUUGAACAGGAGGACAUGGCCCAAAGCCAUGUGGAUGUGUCCAUGGCACCAAUGACGCCUGCAACAGUUCAGGACCCAGAGUCUUCUGUGGCUGUAGAGCCUCAGGCAGAGCCCAGCUCAGCUCCUCUCAUCCUAGUGGCAGAACAUGAGGAAAAGGUGUCAACUUCAUUGCCUGAGAUCCCUGUGGCAGACGCUGGAACACCCCAUCUUGCUCCUGGAGCAGACGAUGAAGGAGAAGCAGCAGCUUCUC
This 2332-nucleotide long non-coding RNA is filed under the name Strigops habroptila (Kakapo). Its description in RNAcentral is "lncRNA (ENSSHBG00005000609.1)". Lineage: Eukaryota; Metazoa; Chordata; Aves; Psittaciformes; Psittacidae. The record is from RNAcentral.